CCUACGGGGGGCUGCAGUGAGGAAUAUUGCGCAAUGGGGGCAACCCUGACGCAGCAACGCCGCGUGAGUGAGGAAGGUUUUCGGACCGUAAAGCUCUGUCGAGCGGGAAGAAAUGCAUGGUGGCUAAUAUCCAUCAUGCUUGACGGUACCGCUAAAGGAAGCACCGGCUAACUCCGUGCCAGCAGCCGCGGUAAUACGGGGGGAGCGAGCGUGGUUAGGAAUUGUGUAGGGGAAAGAACAAGUCGGCGGGGAAAUCCCUGGGCUUAACCCAGGACGUGCAGUUGAAACUAUUCGGCUAGAGUAGGGGAGAGGAAAGUGGAAUUCCUGGUGUAGAGGUGAAAUUCGUAGAUAUCAGGAGGAACACCGGUGGCGAAGGCGACUUUCUGGCCCUAUACUGACGCUGAGACGCGAGAGCGUGGGUAGCAAACAGGAUUAGAUACCCUAGUAGUC
This 450-nucleotide ribosomal RNA is filed under the name uncultured bacterium. Its description in RNAcentral is "partial 16S ribosomal RNA". It matches the Rfam family "Bacterial small subunit ribosomal RNA", at positions 338 to 795 of the family's 1533-position model. The record is from RNAcentral.